Molecule: small RNA, 54 nt
Filed under: Arabidopsis thaliana (thale cress)
Lineage: Eukaryota; Viridiplantae; Streptophyta; Magnoliopsida; Brassicales; Brassicaceae
Description: ATSL242860
Source: RNAcentral
AAACCUUCAUCGUCACUUGCAAAUGAUUGCAUAGCAGCCAUAGCUGAGGGACUA